Molecule: ribosomal RNA, 820 nt
Filed under: uncultured bacterium
Lineage: Bacteria
Description: bacterial SSU rRNA
Rfam family: Bacterial small subunit ribosomal RNA
Source: RNAcentral
CUAUGGAAGCUUGCUUCCGCUGAGAAGAUAGUGGCGAACGGGUGAGUAACACGUGGGUAACCUGCCCAUAAGAGGGGGAUAACAUCCGGAAACGGGUGCUAAUACCGCAUAGUUUUCUUGAUCGCAUGAUUGAGAAAGGAAAGACGGCCUUUGUGCUGUCGCUUAUGGAUGGACCCGCGGCGUAUUAGUUAGUUGGUGAGGUAACGGCUCACCAAGACGAUGAUACGUAGCCGACCUGAGAGGGUGAUCGGCCACAUUGGGACUGAGACACGGCCCAAACUCCUACGGGAGGCAGCAGUAGGGAAUCUUCCGCAAUGGACGAAAGUCUGACGGAGCAACGCCGCGUGAGUGAAGAAGGUUUUCGGAUCGUAAAACUCUGUUGUCAGAGAAGAACAAGUCGGAGAGUAACUGCUCCGGCCUUGACGGUAUCUGACCAGAAAGCCACGGCUAACUACGUGCCAGCAGCCGCGGUAAUACGUAGGUGGCAAGCGUUGUCCGGAUUUAUUGGGCGUAAAGCGAGCGCAGGCGGUUCCUUAAGUCUGAUGUGAAAGCCCACGGCUCAACCGUGGAAGGUCAUUGGAAACUGGGGAACUUGAGUGCAGAAGAGGAGAGUGGAAUUCCAUGUGUAGCGGUGAAAUGCGUAGAUAUAUGGAGGAACACCAGUGGCGAAGGCGACUCUCUGGUCUGUAACUGACGCUGAGGCUCGAAAGCGUGGGGAGCAAACAGGAUUAGAUACCCUGGUAGUCCACGCCGUAAACGAUGAGUGCUAAGUGUUGGAGGGUUUCCACCCUUCAGUGCUGCAGCUAACGCAUUAAGCACU